This 87-nucleotide vault RNA is filed under the name Sinocyclocheilus rhinocerous. RNAcentral's name for it is "Vault RNA (ENSSRHG00000029992.1)". It matches the Rfam family "Vault RNA". From Rfam's summary of the family: This family of RNAs are found as part of the enigmatic vault ribonucleoprotein complex. The complex consists of a major vault protein (MVP), two minor vault proteins (VPARP and TEP1), and several small untranslated RNA molecules. It has been suggested that the vault complex is involved in drug resistance. Lineage: Eukaryota; Metazoa; Chordata; Actinopteri; Cypriniformes; Cyprinidae. The record is from Rfam by way of RNAcentral.
GCGCUGGUGUAGCUCAGUGGUUACUUCAUUUGGCUUUUUCUGAAGACAGUCCUUUUGAUCGACCCCGCAGCGCUCUCUAGCGUUUUC